RNAcentral lists this ribosomal RNA (440 nucleotides) under uncultured bacterium. Its description in RNAcentral is "bacterial SSU rRNA". It matches the Rfam family "Bacterial small subunit ribosomal RNA", at positions 340 to 773 of the family's 1533-position model. The record is from RNAcentral.
UACGGAAGGCAGCAGUGGGGAAUAUUGCACAAUGGGCGCAAGCCUGAUGCAGCCAUGCCGCGUGUAUGAAGAAGGCCUUCGGGUUGUAAAGUACUUUCAGUCGUGAGGAAGGUGUUAAGGUUAAUAACCUUAGCAAUUGACGUUAGCGACAGAAGAAGCACCGGCUAACUCCGUGCCAGCAGCCGCGGUAAUACGGAGGGUGCGAGCGUUAAUCGGAAUUACUGGGCGUAAAGGGCACGCAGGCGGUUAAUUAAGUUGGAUGUGAAAUCCCCGGGCUUAACCUGGGAAUGGCAUUCAAGACUGGUUAGCUAGAGUCUUGUAGAGGGGGUUAGAAUUCCAUGUGUAGCGGUGAAAUGCGUAGAGAUGUGGAGGAAUACCGGUGGCGAAGGCGGCCCCUGGACAAAGACUGACGCUCAUGCGCGAAAGCGUGGGGAGCAAAC